RNAcentral lists this non-coding RNA (44 nucleotides) under Schistosoma mansoni. The record is from RNAcentral. Lineage: Eukaryota; Metazoa; Platyhelminthes; Trematoda; Strigeidida; Schistosomatidae.
ACCGACUGACGAGUUCCAGAUAGGACGAAACGCGUGUUCUGGAU